CUUGGGACUAGAAUGGAGAGUAGAACACAUAAAAACCACUCCUUGAAAGGAGUUUACGGCCAAGGAACAUAUCUUGGGCCGUAAACUCCAAGUGAAGGCACAAAAGUGUGCCUCUUGUCCCCAUUAGCCUUAGAUAAAUUCAUGGAAGCCAUCCUUGAUGUUUAAGAGCCUCAAAACAAUUAAAAUCCAAGAGUUUAUGGCCGUAAACUCUAGGGUGAAUGGACUUUAGGCCGUAAACUCCCAUAUGGAGUGUUCUAGAGCCUUAAACUACUUCUAUGUUAUUCCAACAAAGCUAGGAGUGUUCUAGGAUCAAGAUAGCACCACAAAACACCCAAAACCACCAUUUGAGGAGUUCACGGCCAUAAACCCAUGAGUUUACGGCCGUAAACUCCAAGGUGUGGGGUUUGUUGGGUGGUGAACUCCUAUACAAGGCCAUUUGAUGUUUCAAACCCUUUUGCCUUGUCCCGUAGCAACUUAGAUGCAACCAUUUGAACCUUAAACACUCAUAAAAGUGUUUAAAUGUUUUCUAAGUGUCUUAACUUAUUUAUUUAAGUUAUUAUUUGUCUAAUUAGUUAUAUAUAUGCUUAUUAUAUGAUAACUAGGCUCGUGCGUGUAAACCAGUCUCCGUUUGCCACCUAGCACGGUAUCCGACACUGCAAUUCAAACGACUCACCACAAGUGAGUUCAUACCCCUUGAAUCAACCUUUGAAAUGAUUUUAAAUGUUUUAAAACACUUUAUGGGGGGGAAUACAAGUCAAAUACUUAUAGUUAUUGCUUCAAUCACAUGUGAUUGCAUUUAAUCACAUGUGAUUAAUAACUAGGAAAACAACGAUUUUUACCACUGUUCAAACUGUUUAUCAAACUGCUUUACUUUGAAAUGUUUUACAAACUGUUUUACUAUCCAAACUUAUUUAUAGACUGUGAUUCAAACAAAUGCUUCUUAUACUUAAACUGUUUUAUCAACUUAUGCCUUCAAAUUGUUUUAUAGAUCGACAUCAAGUCGAUCUCCUCUUGAAAUUAUAUUUAUGCUUCAAAUGUUUUAUGAAAACUUAUUUAUGCUUUUAUAUAUUCAAUUGCAUGCCCAUAUAUGUAUAGAUAUAUAAAUAAUGUUUAAAGGGCUUAGGAAGGCCAUCCGCCCUAUUUCCUUUUCCUCGAUUUGGAUGUGGUCUGGUGGGAUUUCGGGUGACCAUCCGAAGGUCGUUUCCAUAUUACUUAUAUAUCAUAUAUACAUGUAUAGACAUAAAAGUACUUCCAUAUUCAUACUCAUCAGUACAUCAUUAGCUGGUUACCAUCGGGGUAACGCAGGAUCAUACAUAUACAGAUAUACUAGAAACAAUACAUAUACAGAUAUACUAGAAACAAUACAUAUACAGAUAUACUAGAAACAAUACAUAUACAGAUAUACUAGAAACAAUACAUAUACAGAUAUACUAGAAACAAUACAUAUACAGAUAUACUAGAAACAAUACAUAUACAGAUAUACGAGAAACAAUACAUAUACAGAUAUACGAGAAACAAUACAUAUACAGAUAUACGAGAAACAAUACAUAUACAGAUAUACGAGAAACAAUACAUAUACAGAUAUACGAGAAACAAUACAUAUACAGAUAUACGAGAAACAAUACAUAUACAUAAAUACGUAAUAAUUGUGAUCCACUGUAUCGGGCAUGCCUUAAAUGUCAUGGCCCGAGUUGUAGCCAGAAUUCUCUUGGAGGGAGAGCGUGAGUUUGCGUAUAGAUCUAUACUGGAUUGACUAUCCUACACCUUGCUGCUAGCUACAGCCGGACCUGCAGGUCUGCGGGUGCCAAACGUCAUUUCUUUUUUCGACCGUUCAUUAUGUCGUUGAUUAUCAGUCGAUAGCAUGGUGCAAUUAAUCACAAUAUACCUUAAUAUAAAUCCGGUUUAAGGUAGUAGUAUUUAGUACAACAGUAGUCUUAUUAUACAAAGCUACAGUACUACAAUGAUUUACCCAUUACAUAUUUUAGUGAUAACCUCACUUAAGCAUUAAUGUACAAACUAUAUUUUUAACAAAUGAUAGUUAUACUUGGGUAAUUACACACUUUUACAACAGACAAGUUUACAAAACAGUUUAGCCUUGGUAGAAGGUUACUUUUAUAGAAAAUAUAGGAUUUUCUGAGAGAUUCAAACUUUUACAAACACUUUCAAACAUUUACUUACAUUUUUACAAACUUAUACCUUGAGACAGGUUCAAACGUUUUUGACAAGAAACAUUGACACUAAAAUACUUAUGAACUCACCAGCUUAAUGCUGAUAAACUCUUUCAAAAUAACUUGUAUUCUCAGGUCAUCAGUAGACAGGUACCGAGGCCAGCUUUUGAGAAGAUGGAGUGCAUUCAAGACUCAUCUCAUAUUAUUUUGUGUUACAUUAUUUUUGGUGUCUAUAACUGUACAAAACACACUUGUAUUAAAAUUAUAUAUUUAAUGCAAUGGAUGAUGUUGUUUACUUAUUUACAUUUACUGUGUUGUGAUACUGUACAUGACGUCCUCCGCCCCAGAACGUUUCCGCCGUUCUUGGUUUUGGGGUGUGACAUUAUUUAAAGGACCUUAUAGCCCCUAUGUGCGGCUACCUGUCCAGAGAGAGUGCCCCUUGAGAGUUUGAGCGAGUUGAAAGAGAGAUAAGGCAAUAUUAAUCAAUUUUGGUGUGAUUUAACAAAUGAGAGGUUGUUUCCAGCAAGAGGAGGUCACAGGAGCUGUGGAUCCAGGGUUUUCAAGUUCAGAUCUACACUUUUGAGGUACCAAAUUAAACUUUCUUUCUAUUUUGGGUUAAGAUCCAUGAUCAAGGGUUUUCUAUGGCCUUUUUAUAGUGCGAUAAGUGGAGCUUAUGGUACUUUGCUAUGUUAGACCUCAGAUCUGGACCCAUAGAGGUCCAGAGAGCCUUCCCCAUUCUGCUUUAUUGUUGUUUAUGGAGGAAAGGAGGCUAGGAUUCCAUGUUUGAAGAAAUUUUACCAAAAUAAGGCUUGGGUGCAAUGCAUGUAUAGCAAGAUUCGACCUUUACAUGGUUAUUGGCUAUGGGAAGUCAUGUAUUUAAUUUAGGGCAAUAGAUCUGACCUUAGAAGGUCAUUUGAGUGUUGUCAUUUGAGUGUUGUCAUAGGAGAAACUCGCCGAGUUCAUAAGUGGACUCGACAAGUCAAGUCAGGGUUCUCUCAUGAUUCGUUGCUGAAUAACCCGAUGAGUGGAGAGGGGACUUGUCGUGCCAAGUGGGAUUGGAAGGAUCUAGAGGACUAGUGUGGACUCGUCGAGUCGCCUAAAUGCACUCGACGAGUCUGGUCAAAGUUUGACCAUUGACUUUGUUCACUUUUAGGAUUUAGUCAAUGUUUGGACUUAUGAGCAAUUAAAGGGGUAGAAUGGCCUUUUACCCUUCUUAGAGGACUUGGACAGAGGGGUUAGCCUAGCCUUUAGGAGUUGUAUGAAAUAGAGUAAUUAUUAUGUGAUUAGGCGGAGGCUAGUACAGGGUUUCAGAGUUCGAGGUUUAUCGAGUUAUCUGAGGUGAGUCUUCUCACUAUACUUUACCUUGUGUGGUAAUUAGAGUUAUGUGAUAGAGUAUCUUGUAUGUUAUUCAUGUGAUGUGUUGCACAACAUUAUUUCUAUAUGAUUUAUAUAUAUCAAAGUUUAUAAAGUUAGGACAAGAAGGUCCACAGAGUUAGGAUCAGAGGGUCCACAGGGUUAGAGCUAGAGAGCUCACAGAGUUAUAGCCUCAGGUGGCUAUUAUGUGAUAAAGGUGGUAUUUUGGGGAACUCACUAAGAAUUUAUUCUUAGAGUGUUUAUGUUAUGUGUUUCAGGUACCAGUGAGGAUUACGGGAAGGCAUCGGCAUGAUCAUUACACACUAUUGGAGAUUUUAUACAUUUUGAUCUUGGGAUGUGUUGUUUUUAUGGAUUUGAUGUAUGACAGAAGGAGAUAUAAAUAAUGUUUAUGAAUUCGAAUUAACAAUUUUAAAAGGGAAAAAAAUGUUUUGAAAUUUAUGUUGUUACAAACUUAAUCUUUAUCCCUCAAUGAAGUCAUAAUCCAAUUAUAAUUCAUAAUUACAUUAAUUUUUUUAGAAUUAGAAUCUUGCGUAGCUCUUUACGUAAAGAUUUUUUAUUUUAAACUAUAUGUCUCAUAUACAUUCUGUUAGUUCUUCCAAAGUACUCUUAGAAUGUUUCUAUAGUCAUCCGGUGACUUAACCAUGUAUUUAAUUGACAUAUUAUGAUAUGCUCAUAGCAUGAUCAUACACCAGGUCUUAUGCAUAAUAUGGCAUAAAUGAUGAAUUCAUUUGUCAAGAAAAUAGAAUAUAAAUAAUUUCGGCUAGAUCAAACCUAUGAGCAAGGUUCUUUCGAGGCUGACUCAUACUUAGUGCCAUGUGACAAUACUAAGGUUCCUCUAAAGAAAUUUUCUAUCUUGAUCUCUUUCAAGACAUUGUCAGUAUAGGCAUACGUAUACAAAACUUUUAACAUUCAUUUUAACCAUCUUUAUCGGUUUUACAUUCCAAGAAUCUGUCUUGUUCUUCCUAAGUCUAUCAUUUUAGAAAUAUACUCUAAAUCAAGGUGAAAAUGCCUAGCAUGGUCAGAAUGUGGUUUCUCGUGAUUAAGUAUGUCCCAUUCAUACCAUAUUAGGAAUUUCAUAAUCCUCCCACUACUUCUUAGUAAGCACACAUGUUCUAUUCAUUUUGAUAUAAAACAUACCUUGUGGUUUUACAUUAAAAUGAUGAUUGCAACAUUGAGAUGCUUGUUGUAUAUCCAAAAGUGGAUCUCAAGCUCUACACAUUUUGUUUGGAUAUCAUGGAUUACGAAAACCUCCAGGCUAAUCUACAUAGAUAUGUCUAUUGAGAAAAACACUCUUUCUUGAAAUCUAUUUGCUAUGUCUCAUAUUAACAAUAUGAAUUUAUAUUAAAUAAUAUCCUUAUUUAUAUUAUCAUAGCUACUUGUGAAAAAGGUUUGAUCAUAGUCAAUGUCAUGAGCAUGAUAAGGACCAUGGUCAGUGACAUGAGUAUGAGAAAAUCCUUUUAUAACAAGUCUUGUUGUAAAUACGUAUUGUUAUCCAUGUAAUGCAUUCUUUCUAGAAGAAUCACCUACUCCUUUUAGACUUCAUAUACAGAUAAAGUUCAGUCAAGACCAUAAUUCAUUAUUUUACAAGGAUUGCAUCUCCUAUUCAUGACUUUAAGUCAUUAAUCAGAUCCGAGGUCUGACGGAGCAUCUUGGUAUUUGAUGAAUUUUCUAGAAACCAUCAAAAAAACUCAUCAAUGAGAGAUUCCACAUUUCUCAAUUCAUAAAUGAUUUCUACCAUUAACGCGGACAAUUUGUGUUUGUGAAUAUUUAUUACUCGAGUAUAACAAUCAUUGUUAAAAACUAGUACCAACUUUUUCUUCAUAAGAUUUUGUAUGGAAAGGCUUCAUUAUUUAGAAAGGAAAUCAUACACCAUAGUAUAUAGUUCCAUAAUAAUUAUUGAUUGUUGCAUAACACUUAUACAUGAUAGAAGAAUCAGAUAAUCCUUCGAGUAGAGGACUCAUCCCUGUAACGGUUAGACUCAGACGAGAGCUGGGAAACAGCGUCAAAUCAUUUACUCUGAGAUUAUCCGAUCCAUGUUGGAAAUGUCUUCUUAUAUUUUCCGAAUAACAAGCGACUCCACUACUGAGUCCCAAAUCACUAAUACCGCCUUGACUUAUCUCAAUGCCUCUAGCUGCUUUCAAAAAGCAAUCAAGACCUCCUUGGUCCCACCAUGUCUACCGAUCAUAAUAGUCUGACAAACCUGACUCCAUGAAGCCCAAUGCUAAAAGUGAAUGCUACAAGGCCAGUUGUAGUCUAAUACCACAACCAACUUCCAACAACCAACCACUUCCUGGUUCCAUGCAUGUUGUAGUUUUUCUAACAGCCUUACAACCUAACCCACUCGAGUCUAAUCAAUCUAAAGAAAUCAAUGACCAAUCAUAUAAUGAAAUCCAUCUGAAAAUCUGUAACCCCAUACUUUCUUGACCCCCAGAUAGAUAGAACCAACCCAAAACACAGGAGCCUGAUUUGCCAACAAAAUUAAAACUAUCCCUUAACCCUGAACCCUACAGAAAAGAAGACCAUGCACAUAAACACCCACGAUACCCAAUGCAAAUUCCCACCAAGAACCAUCUCGGUACCCAACUUAGAACCCAAGAUCAAAGGAUUUACACCUUAAUUUCACCCAAAACAUUAUGAUUCUCAACAACCCGUCACUAAUCUGGCAUAAAGGGCUUCCCCAACCAUCUACGAGACUACCAGUCUCGCACCAGCCCAGCCACCAGGUUUCCAAGAGUCCAAAUGACAAGGCUACCCAGCCGAAACAUCCCUCUACACCACAUACUGACCACACACUCAAUCUUGAAACCCAAGAUCCAAAACCUUGACCCAAUGGUCUCUACCAGAUCCCAUCUGCAUUGUCAUAAUCACAUGGGCCUCGCCCAUGGUCCCCACCCAAACCAUACCACUGAGCGACCUCGCCCACGGGUCCCACCCAUCCAGAGAUAUACAUGCCUGACUCCCUCCCGGACACCGAUGGUUCUCAACCUAAAAUAGAGAAACACUGCUCGAAAAUCCUGACCGGCAUGCCCAAGCCCUUAGGUGAUUCCCUUUUUACAAUCAUGACCACCUCCAACGAUAGUCUACCUCAAACUAGUGAUUGUUAUGAUCCCAUUGCAUUCCUACAACAUUUCUAACCAACGAUGGUUACCACCCAUGGCCUUAACACACCUUAACCAUCAUUAUCCGCACACAUCCUGAGUCAAAACCUGCAUCCAAAUAGGUGUCCAGGUCAUACUUAGAACCCUAAAGCCUUCAUCAGACAAGAACAAGCAGUGAGGCUCUAACACAACCCUUGACCUUGAUCCAUCCAUAAACCUGCUAUGCAUAACAAGAGGUCUCCGACCAGCUGCUGGGAGUUACCUGAACUCCCACUUACACAACCUCAAUCUAAACAGCCACUUGGGUUGUCUCUCUUCCUGACCAAGGUGCGAAACUUGCCGUAGUUCCACACCUGAUCCAACUCUCGGAAAUUCUGAUCAAUUCUCCCCCACUUGGAUUCGAUGAAGCUCUUUCAUACCAUAAGUCUGAUGGAUUCCCAACUCAUCAAACCUCAUAUAGCAUGAACCGCCUAUUACAUACGCUACUCAAUACUAGCGUUCCAUUUCUGGCGAAACUCAAUGAUCACCCAAAUCCUAAAAUCCUAAAGGAUACUCUCGAAACCUUAACCAUUCUAAUAAUCUAAAUAACCUCUGAUGAUACCAUACCAAUUCAUUGAGUUCUUAUGAUGGCAACUAAAAACCAUAACCCUUUCCCUAAAUUAACGAAUGUUCACCCUAACUUCCAUUCUCAAAGAUUCAUUGAAUUUUGACCAUCUACAACCCAUGCGAAUAUACAAUUCCCCUGACAUUUCCAAUCACUAAACAACUCAUGCAACUCACACAACCAUCUUCCUGCUAACAAUGUUCUCCUAGUAACGGUAAUAUUUUAACCCCAAAAGUUCUUCCAUAAACGAUUGUCGAUCUAACCAAAAUAGGCAAUAAAACCACUGCACCCUGACUUCAUUAGAGAACUAAUAUGCUAACCUACACCAAAGAUCAUCCAAGAAAUACCCUUGGAUUGAUCCCAACAGAGACCAAGAUUAACAACUGAACGUGCUGAAACCUACUCAACAAGAUAUGACCCUCUAAAGAUUCAUUAAAGACUCUCGGUAUGCAGAAUGGCAUAUAACAGUCCUUGAUAACCUAGACAAUAGCAGAAAACCUAUCCGAGAUAUAACUUACCCAAACCCAAGCAAAAUUCCAAGAGAACAGCAAUUUCUAGUAACAACCUAGAAGAAAACAUAAGAUAUCAUAUUUGUUAAAGUAUCUGAAGGAAUCCUGAUUUCCUCCCCCUGAGGAUAUGGUGCAAAACUCCCCUCUGAUCCGAAAACAUAUAAAAUAACAAUAGGAUCCUUCUUCUGAAAGGUUUCUAGGGAUCCACAAGCUUUGGGCUCUAGAUGAGCCCCCAACCGCCCUACCACAACUUCGGCACAAAAGGCCCCGAGAUGACCUUCUAGGAGCUCCAAAAUCCCUUCCUUGGCUGAAUCACAAACCACAUCGGUCCAUUCCAAGAUACAACGAGUAAUCUUCGAUGAGAUGAACUCCUACAUCCACGUAUCGAUCGGCUCAGUUCCUGCUCAUGAGCUAGAAUGAGAACUUGAACCCCAUUCCUUAAUGCUCAACACUAUAUGAAAACAACGUGAAAAAGAUCCUAAUAUACCCAAGAAUCUUCAUCCCACAGGCUUCCUAUAUUCUCUAAGACUCUUCCCGAUUCGAGUAUCGAUCAUCUGCUUUAAGUAGUAUGGGCCCAAUACUAUCUUCCACACCAAUGUAUACUUUCCUCGAGAAUACUCCGAAAUCCUCUAAGUCACCUUCUCAAAUACUUGCACUAAAUAUUUGCUACCCAACACAAUAAAACCCACACAAGCAAUCCCUAGGCCUUCCUAGGUUCCUGAUCUCACCUUGCCAUGAGUUGCUGAAGAACUCCUCAUAAUGUCAUUUAGCUACAUCAAAAACACAAUCACAUACAACAAAGCUUAUAUAAUCCCUUGUGUAACAGACUCAUCCCUACAACGAUUAGACUCAAACAAGAGCUACACAAUAGGCUCAUAUCCAUCACUCUGAUAUUAUCCAACCUUUUUCACAUGUGACUUGACAUAUUCACUUAAUAGCUAUCUCACAUCACUUAUGAGUUCUACAAAGCACAAAACAUUCCAAUCAACGGAAUGAUAACAAGCAUUCAAUCCCACAUAUUACAACCCAUACUAAGAGCUCAUAUGCCCGCUAUUGAUUGCCUUAUGCAUACAAAUCAUACCUAAUCUAGGAUCCCUUCCUCCCAAGGCUACCAAGCAUCACAUAUCAGGCCAACCUAUCACUGGCUAGUCAGAACUAGAAUGCAAGUCUAGAAGCUCAUACAAUAGGCAAACAAGGCAUCUUUCCAAACAUUCUAUCAUCCAAAAACUAAGCAAAUCCUUAGCCCUAACUAGCAUGCGAUUCACAGAUUCAUAAAUCAAAUCAUACUAGAUAACAUAUAUGGGUAUUUUGGGAGACACUUGAGCUCGGUCAGUUGCAUACACCACACACUUUCUUGUAUUAGAACACUUUCUUUUCCAUUUUCAAAUCAUUUUUCAUUCAUUUUUGAAAAACUUUACCAAAUCCUUAGUUUAAGUUGAGAUACACCCGAGAGUAUGUCUAAAUCCCACAAAAUAAGGCUCUGAUACCAACUUGUAAUGUCCCAAAAAUAAUAACAUAAAAUUUUCUUUUAUAGAUUAAUAAAUCCUUAAUAUAUAAUAUUCCCAUAAAAGUAAGGUAAUCAAGAUUCAGCAAAAAUUCAUCAAAUCAGAGUAAUUCACAGAAUGUGAAAACACGUACUGUGUGCUCUACAAUCAUCCCGAACCCUUCCAUUUGGAUACUGAAGUACUUGAACCAAAAACUAAAAAUCAUAAGCACAAAUCUUAAUGAGUUCUCCAAGAUACCUCAUACCACACAUAAAUAAAUCACAUAAUGGUCCCCUUCACUCCAUCGGGCCUCGCCCGAUCUUGAUUCCCACUCGGCCUCGGGACCCCACUCGGAUUACAGAUAUGUCAAUCACCUGGGCCCGCCUAACAUUGGGCACCACCCGAUACACACAUAAUCAUUUAACCAUAUAAUCAUAUAAACAUAUAACCUUACUAAGCUAUUCAAUAAUCACAAAGACUAUAACAUAGUAUACAGUCAUGAAGCCCCACUCGACAUCAAGCCUUGCCUGGUAAGCAUAAAAGCACAUACUUAUAACUAGCAUACAAUGUAAUCAUCAUGUCUCGCACGGCCUCGGCCCUUGCCUAAUAAGCAUACCAUCACACAACAUAUGGAAGAUUCAUGAAGACAUCUAGAAUCCUAACAUAUAAAAUGUGGGCAGGAAUUGGUGCAUUCGACUCGCUAAACCCAGUGAGGAAACUCACCUCUUACUACCGAAUCUCACAGAAAGAAUCUCUAGCUGGUAGCCCGCAAGAAUUCCCACGUUAUCAAUCACAAGUUAAUCAUCCAUCAAUAAUCGGAUCUGACUCACACUAAGUGUCUAAACUGGGGUAAAAGAUCUUUUUAGCCACUUCACGACUUAGCCCAAAGCCAAGGCCCAAUUCAACAAUCUAAAAGCCUAAAUUCCAAAUAAUCACCCAAGCCAAAAAUAUCCCAUGUCCAACCCUUGUCAAACUUCUUGUCAAAGUCAAAGUUAAUUUUCCAUGUCGACCAAAAAAGUUGUGUUGCCCCUUGGCCACGCCGUGCUCUAACAACAUCAAAUCAGUCGGGAAAACCCAACCAACAUACUGUGUUGACUCAGAACGCAAUGUGUUUUCUUGAGUUCCAACAACUUAAUACAUUAAGUUGUUUUCGUUGAUUCCAAGAGCUCCAAAGCUCAAAUCUAGUGCAUAAUGUGGUACAGAAGGAUAUAGUUUCCAACUUUAUCCGUUGGGACUACCCAAAAAGGUUUCAAAACUCAAUCCAUAAAGCUUAUUAAUGCAAGAACCUAACCCAUCAAACGCUUAAUCCUUAAAAUCUGAAGUUCGUCCUUUCCUGGGGUGAUUCAAACAGAAAAACGAUCCCAAAGGUUGGUGCUUUAUAGACAUACAUGUGCAUGACAUCAAAACUUGAUCAUAAUCCAUAUCCAAAAUACUAUUAAUUCAUCUUGACCUGGAGAUUCAUAAAGUUGCAAACUUUAUGUGUAACGCCCCGAUUCUCAGGUAUUGUUCAAUUAUAGUUUCUUGGUUUUGGCCCUACUCGAAGAGUCGGUUACCCUGCUCGUCGAGUAGCAGCGGGAUUCGAUUGCAACUUAAGUGACUGACUCAGCGAGUCCACUAGUGGGACUCAGACAGCAGGAGCUGACAAGUGAAACCCUAAUUCACGGGGUUUGUGCCCCUAUUUAAAGGAGCCUUAGCCUCCGUUGGGUCUCUUUACAAAAUUAGAGAGUCCCUGAUUCGAGUGUGUGUACUUUGUUGAGUGUGUGAGGCUUGAUUUGAAGAUUUUGAAGAAGAAGGCUUGAAGGAAGAGGAGGUUGGAGCAAGUAAGGUGGGGAAAUCAACACUAUUUUCAGUUGUCAUCUUCCAGAGGUAUCCUACAUUACCAUCUCUUAUGUGAGUUUUCCUUUUUAUGAAGUUCUAGGGUUUUCUAUGGACCUUAAGGGUUGAUAAGUUGAACAAUGAGUUGGAUCAAAUGUUGUAACUUGAGAUCUAAACCCUCUCUAAGCUCUAGAAACAUAAAGUCUCAGAAUUGAUCAUGUAUGAGGUCCAUCUUGGGCAUGAAGCCCCAUUAAGAGCUUAGACUUGGCAUUUAGAGCCUUAAAUGCAAUGCAUGUAUGUAAAGUUUGUGACUUUACGUUAUAAGUAUGCCAUAGAAGCCUAGAUCUAUGAAUUGGAGCCACUACAUGGCUCGGAAUAAGUCUAUAUGGAAAAAGACCGAGGGGACUCGGUGAGUCACAAGGAUGAAUCAGCAAGGCUGAUGAAGAAAACCGUGAACCCGACAAGUUGGGUGAACAACUCGGCGAGUCUGAUGAAAAAAUCCGUCAACUCGACGAGUUGGAUGAACAACUCGGCGAGUCCGAUGAAGAUCUUCGUGAAACACGCCGAUUUGAUGGACAACUCGACGAGUCAAAUGAAUUUCUCCAAGGUUAUGUACGUGUGACAAAUCGAAAUUUCCAUUUUGUACGAACAAUAUCUAUUCAAUAGAAGCUAGUCCAGUUUCAGUGAUUUUCAGACUUUUCCGAAUAAGUUUGUGUACUUUAGGGUUCACGUUUAAGGAGAUAUCAGGAGAGUGGAUGCUCCUGGGUUUGUGAAACUUGAGCAUUUCAAAACUUCAUAAUGUUAGAGUCCAAUUCCAGAAUAAAUAUCUUUUCUGGCAAAAUAUUUCAGGACUAUAAAUAGAUUUCUGAACUAAAAUCAUUCAUUAUUCACAUUUCCAACUAGAGAAAAGCCAUUUUCUCUCUCACGGAUCUUCCGUUUUUCAUCCCAAAUCGUGAGUACACUUCCCUAGUUGUGUUAUAAUACUUGUUUUAUGCUUCAUAACAUAGAUUACAUGUCAAAUAUGUGAGAUCCGGGAGUUUACCGCCCUAGAACGUUCUUGGGGAGUAAACUCCAAAAUGGAGCCUAAAGGCCAUCUAGUCCCAUUUCCUUGUUAGGUAACUAGUUUAGGAUGUUAUGUAUGAUCAUUUGAGGCUAGAAAUCAACCAAGAACACAUAGCUUUUGGAGUUUACGGCCCAAGAGUUUCUUGGACCAUAAACACCAAAUUCAAGGGCCAAAAAUGUGUCUUAAUUAUUCCUAAGGAUUUAGACAUUAAACCCCAUUUAAUCCUAGCUAAUUUAUCGAAUUUUAAACAUCAAGAACACCCCUUAAAGGGAGUUUACGGCCAAGGAUAUGAUCUCGGGCCGUAAACACAAAGUAAGGGCACCAAAGUGUGCCUAGAGUCCCCCUUAGCCUUAAACAAAAGCCUAGAAAUUAUCCUACUUGUGCAACAGACUUAUAAGAAUUAAAACAACCAUCCCAUGAGAUUUUACGGCCGUAAACUCUAAGGGAUAUGGUAUUUUGGCCGUAAACUCAUCAAAGGAGUAUUAUCUAUGCCCUAAACUACCCAAAGGAAGAAACCACCAAGCUAGGCUUAUUCUAGAAAUCAUUUAGCACCUUAAAACACCGAAAACCACCAAGAUUGGAGUUCACGGCCGUAAACUCAAGGGUUUACGACCGUAAACUCCUUGUGUGGGUUUAUUGGGUAGUAAACUCUUAUUCAAGGUCAUUUGGUACAUUAAACCCCUUUAGCCUUGUCCCAUAGCAACUUAGAUGCAACCAUUAGGACCUUUAACACUUAUACAAAGUGUUUACAUGUUCCUGAGUGUCCCAACUUAUUUCAUUAAGUUAUUAUUUGGCUAAUUAGUUAUAUAUAUGCUUAUUAUAUGAUAACUAGGCUCGUGCGUGUGAACAANCCAUUUGUCACCUAGCACCGUGUCCGACACUACAAUCCAAUCCACUCACCACAAGUGAGUUCAUACCCCUUUAUUUAACGUUUGAAAUGAUUUUAAAUGUUUUAAAUACUUUAUUGGGGGGAAUACAAGUUAAAUACUUACAGUUAUUGCAUCAAUCACAUGUGAUUAAUAACUAGAAAAUCAAUGAUUUUAUCACUGUUCAAACUGUUUAUCAAACUGUUUUACUUCAAAAUGUUUUACGAACUCCUUUACUUAUCAAAUGCUUUUAUUAAACUUUGUUUUACUUCUUAUCAAUUGCAUGCCCAUAUAGGUAUAGAUAUAUAAGUAAUGUUUAAAGGGCUUAGGAAGGCCAUCCGCCCUACAUCCUUUUUCUCGAUUUGGAUGUGGUCUGGUGGGACUUCGGGUAACCAUCCGAAGGUCGUUUCAAUAUUAAUUAUAUAUCAAUUAUACAUAUAUAGUCAUAAAGGUACUUCCCUAUUCCUGCGUACUAGACACAUCAUUAGUGAGUUACCAUCGGGGUAACACAGGAUCAUACUAUUAAAACUUCUAGAUCAAUAAGUCAGUUCAUUCAUGAGUCUAUACAUUACAUUACUACUAGAACAUAUACAACUAUACUAGAACGAGAAACAUUACAUUACAUAUACAAGAAUACGUUAACAAUUGUGAUCCACUGUGUCGGAGCAUGCCUUAAAUGUCAUGGCCCGAGUUGUAGCCAAAAUUCUCUUGGAGGGAGAGCGUGAGUUUGCGUAUAGAUCUAUACUGGAUUGACUAUCCUACACCUUGCUGCUAGCUACAGCCGGACCUGCAGGUCUGCGGGUGCCAAACGUCAUUUCGUUAUUACGACCAUUUGUAUGUCGUUGUUACCAGUCGAUAGUAUGGUGCAAUUUAUCACAUUAUACCUUAAUAUAAAUCCGGUUUAAGGUAGUUAGUACAGCAGUAGUUCCUAUAAUACAAAACUACAGUACUACAAUGAUUUACCCAUUACAUAUUUUUAGUGAUUAUUUCACUUAAACAUUAAUGUACAAACUAUAUUUUGUUAAAUGAUAGUUACACUU
RNAcentral lists this long non-coding RNA (14021 nucleotides) under Lactuca sativa (garden lettuce). RNAcentral describes it as "long non-coding RNA (LSAT_LNC003095)". The record is from RNAcentral. Lineage: Eukaryota; Viridiplantae; Streptophyta; Magnoliopsida; Asterales; Asteraceae.